This 421-nucleotide ribosomal RNA is filed under the name uncultured bacterium. RNAcentral's name for it is "bacterial SSU rRNA". It matches the Rfam family "Bacterial small subunit ribosomal RNA", at positions 30 to 454 of the family's 1533-position model. The record is from RNAcentral.
AUUGAACGCUGGCGGCAUGCCUUACACAUGCAAGUCGAACGGCAGCACGGGAGCAAUCCUGGUGGCGAGUGGCGAACGGGUGAGUAAUAUAUCGGAACGUGCCCAGUCGUGGGGGAUAACGUAGCGAAAGCUACGCUAAUACCGCAUACGAUCUAUGGAUGAAAGCGGGGGGAUCGCAAGACCUCGCGCGAUUGGAGCGGCCGAUAUCAGAUUAGGUAGUUGGUGAGGUAAAGGCUCGCCAAGCCGACGAUCUGUAGCUGGUCUGAGAGGACGACCAGCCACACUGGGACUGAGACACGGCCCCAGACUCCUACGGGAGGCAGCAGUGGGGGAAUUUUUGGGACAAUGGGCGCAAGCCUGAUCCAGCAAUGCCGCGUGCAGGAUGAAGCCUGUGUAACUGCUUUGUACGGUACGAAACGGU